GAAGCGGCUCGCGCGGGCCCGGCCGGCAGCCGCUCCCCAGACACCGGGGAUCCGGCCCGACUGUUUCCUACCCACGACGGCGAAGACCCGCUACAGCGCGUCCACGAAGCCCCAGUACUGAGCCAGGACGGGGCUCUCCCUCUCGAUGUAGGCGACUACGAACUGCUCCGCCAGCCGGUGAGGCAGCUAAUUAAGAAAGCCACCUUCAGGAUGUCUUUCGAGAAUCUAGCCUCGAAGAAAGUCAUGUAAGAGAACGCCUGCAUCAAAAAGUCGGGAGGCCGGGCGGAGUCGCCGUUAAACGUCCAGGGAAAGCCACCAGGUGGGCCGGCGAACGCUCCCGGGCCAGCAGGUAGGCUUUCUCGCACAGCAGCCCCCGCACCCGGUCCGUAAGCUCGUUGUUCUCCCUGCGCCGGGCAUGGUUCUAGGUCAGGAGGUCCUACAUCAUGACAGCCAACGCGUCCAUCCUGCGCCUCCCCGCAGGCCUUGCUCCCCGCUCGGUCCCUCCCGGCCGCGGCGCUGCCGGAAGUGCGUGUCGGCGCGGGGGCGGAUCCCGGUGGCGGCGAGGGGCGGACUCCGCGGACAAGGCCAGGCCUAGCCUUGAGCUCCGUCGGGCAGGGCCGCCGGGAUUGGUGUCCGGCAGAGCGUGAGCCCAGCGGGCUGGAGUCGGCGAGCGGGAGUGAAAGAAGAAAAGCUAGAGAGCGAAGGCAAAGCCCGAGGAGAGAGGGCCGCGGUCGGCGGAGGAAUCUGACUGCACGGUUGCGUGCGCUCACUCCCGGAGGGCUCCCUCAGGCGGGCGGCUCCGCUAGUGGCUAAAGGCAAAGCAUUCCGGGGCGCGGCGCAUGAAGUUGAGCUUCGUCCCUGCUAGCCGCCGCUUUCUCCCCAAAAAUACAUCCUAGCCUUAAUGUUUAUGCCUCCAUUGCCCCAGUUCUUAUCUGUUUUGCUCAAUGUCUCAUAGCUACAAGAAGGCAAUUUCUGACGAAGCCCUCCGUCCCUUCCAAAUGGAUUAUUUUGGCGGGCUUCCACCCGGACAGUAUGCCACCCGAAUGACUGGACAAGUGCACGGGAGCGGCUGUCAUUUGCGGAGUGCGCCUUGCGAUCUAGGCGCCUCACAGCGCAAAUUAUCCAGUAAUUUCUCUGAAAUCGAUGCUGGUUUGUUUUCCCAAGGCAAAUCAGCAGCUUAUACAGACAUUGGGGCCACAAAGCCGGUGGAACAACGGGAGACGGCUUCCUGAGUGUCAGGUCCUCCAAGAUGAGCUUAAACUUCGGGUGGUGGGCAGGCUCGGUAGGCGGGAAAGGCCCGUGUCCAGAUGAAUGCAGUCCAUGUUUAUAUUGAUGAAAGACACGUAUACCAUUUGGUCCAGCUCAACCAUUCUUAACAAGUGCUGGCUGUGAGCACUGGUGUGUGUGUGCCUGCGUGCAACCAGCAAUGUAAGUGAUGACCAGCUGCAUGAUGCCUUAAUUUGAGUGGACAAAGUCGGUCAAGAACCACUUUCAGGCUUCUGGGUCUCCAAGUCUUUGUCUCCCUGUAUCCAAACGAGGCAUUCCAAGUUUGACAGCAUGGAACAUUGCAUGUCCGAAAUACCAACCGUGAAACUGGGUAAAAAGCUUCAGGAGGUGAUAUUGAUGUGUAUAGUUUAGGAAAUAAAACCCAAUACUUACUUCAAAGAACGUAAUUUGUGGCUUUUUAGAGAGAAGGAUACUUUGACAGUUUUCAUUUGUCGUCUACAUGUAUAUGGUACGUUUCAUUCUGCCUUUUAAUUAAUUUGGUAUUUUACUAUGAAAACUACUUUGUAUUAAUAAAAUAAUGUAUUUCCAAUGUUAUAAGUUGUGUUAUAACAGUUUCAAAAGCCAAAUAAACAAGAUGCAUUUUGA
RNAcentral lists this long non-coding RNA (1872 nucleotides) under Homo sapiens (human). Its description in RNAcentral is "HSALNT0392642". The record is from RNAcentral. Lineage: Eukaryota; Metazoa; Chordata; Mammalia; Primates; Hominidae.